RNAcentral lists this ribosomal RNA (442 nucleotides) under uncultured bacterium. Its description in RNAcentral is "partial 16S ribosomal RNA". It matches the Rfam family "Bacterial small subunit ribosomal RNA", at positions 338 to 795 of the family's 1533-position model. The record is from RNAcentral.
CCUACGGGUGGCAGCAGUGGGGAAUAUUGGGCAAUGGAGGCAACUCUGACCCAGCAAUGCCGCGUGAAUGAAGAAGGUCUUCGGAUUGUAAAGUUCUUUAAUCAGGGACGAAGAAGAUGACGGUACCUGAGGAAUAAGCAUCGGCUAACUCCGUGCCAGCAGCCGCGGUAAUACGGAGGAUGCGAGCGUUAUCCGGAUUUAUUGGGUUUAAAGGGUGCGCAGGCGGAUUUUUAAGUCAGCGGUCAAAUCGUGGGGCUCAACCCCAUCCAGCCGUUGAAACUGGGGAUCUAGAGUGUGCGAGAGGUAUGCGGAAUGCGUGGUGUAGCGGUGAAAUGCAUAGAUAUCACGCAGAACCCCGAUUGCGAAGGCAGCAUACCGGUGCACAACUGACGCUCAGGCACGAAAGCGUGGGUAUCGAACAGGAUUAGAUACCCUAGUAGUC